ACUGAGUUUGUCUCAAUGGGGCUUCUGUCCUACAGCCACACAUCACUGGAAACACCCCAUAUAGUUAAUUGUGGUUUUGCUUUAUUCACAGGACUAUCUCUUAGAUCUGUGGGAAGUAACUACAAGACAGCU
RNAcentral lists this small nucleolar RNA (132 nucleotides) under Castor canadensis (American beaver). The record is from RNAcentral. Lineage: Eukaryota; Metazoa; Chordata; Mammalia; Rodentia; Castoridae.